This is a long non-coding RNA of Siniperca chuatsi (mandarin fish), 2763 nucleotides long. RefSeq lists it as uncharacterized. The transcript is spliced from 2 exons. Lineage: Eukaryota; Metazoa; Chordata; Actinopteri; Centrarchiformes; Sinipercidae. The record is from RefSeq and is a predicted model, not a curated record.
UAAAAGUAUUUCCUCUCUCUCUCUCAGAGGUCAAAGGUCUCUCGCCCCCCAUCAGGUGUGAGUGUGUGUUGCCGGGUGAAGAGCUGGCAGAGUAGUCGUAACCACGGUAGCGUAAGAUCAAAACACCACACACAUCUCCCACAAUGCACCUGACCUUGUCUGAUGUAAACAGACCUGAAGAUAAAAGACAGAAGAAGAGAAAGAGGAAGGAUAGAAAGAGUGAAGAGAGGAGUGACGUGAAGGAGCAGCUGAUGAUCAGACUGAUCAUCACAACAGGAUUGUCCCAAACUAACAGCUGAUGUCACCAGAAAAAGCAGAACCACCUCAGCAGGAGGAACAGGUCGCUCCUACCAGUUGCCAUGGAGAGGAUCGGUGUCUGGACCAAACAACCUGACAACAGGAGUUCCACUAGGCUCUAUCCUGGACCCUCUUCUCCGGACAUUUGGUCAUGUCAUACUCUUGCAUGGCUUCUCCUACCACUGCUAUGCUGAUGACACCCAGCUAUUCUUGUUCCCCAGUCUUCCACUCAGGUGGAGGCAUUGCUGUUCACCUGCACCAUCUAAAGCUCAACCUGGACCAGAGUGAGCUUUGGUGCUGCCCUACAGGGGAGUGAAACCCUCCACUCCUCCUCUGCUUCUGGAACCUUUGGUUUUGUGUUUUAAGCAGUUCAUUUGGGAGGGUUGCAAUUCCAAUUUUUGAUGACAUCUAGCUCUUGUUCCUUUUGAGUUUCAAUGCAGUCACUGUAAGUCUCUUUGGACAAAAGCAUCUGCCACAUGAAUGUAAUGUUUUGAAUUGAUGGUCUGUCUUUGAGUAAUAAAAAGAGCAUGUAUCUUUGAAAGUUCUUUCUUGUUGAUAAAUACAUCUCAUUUGCUUGCGUCGAGAGGCUGCUGGCAUGUACUGUAUAUUCCUGCUUCUCAAUAUGAGUCAAUUUCUGCUUUUCACUGUAGGUCUCUACUACUUCCUAUGUUGUCUCAACAUUUUCCAGUCCUGUGUUGCUGUGUGACUAUUCUCUGGCACGAUAUCAGGAUUAUCCCGACAUCUGUCAUGGACUACCAUGGCCUAAGCUUCCACUGCUAUGUCGAUGACACUCAGCUGUACCUCAGCACUAAACCAUCCACUCAGCUCCCCCUACAGUCCCUUGUCAACUGCCUGCACAACAGAAAUACCUGGAUGUCAUCUAAUCUACUUAAGCUAAACAGCAACAAAACAGAGCUCAUGGUUGUGGCUUCCAAGGCACCGCUCCGAAAGGUUGGAGAUCCUCUCCUCAACGUGACAGAUUAUUCUAAGAAAUUCAAAUAAAAGUGCAAAGAACUGGAGAUCCUUAGUUCACCUGACUUAAAAUUUUAAGGCAGCCAGGUUACAAUUUAACCUGGGUCCAGGUUAUUUGCAUUUAUAUGGUCAGAAAUUUUGUCCCAUUACAUUUUAUUUGUUGUUUCACUCAUAUUUCUAUUUUCACAAAAUGUACUUCAGGCCUAAAAGAAAGCGAAAGUCUGUCAGAGCGACCUGCUGACUUUAUUCACUGUGAGGAAAUCAUUUCAGUACAGCCAAACAGUCAUUAAAACAAGAUUUACAUUAAAAACAACAAAAACCAAAAUGAGUGGAGCUGAAUGGAAACAUCAGCUUUGAUUGACAGCGCUAUAAAUGUGUGAAGACAUUAACAUUCAGUUUUCUUUUUUUCAUACAAAACAAUGGUUUGUUUUUCAGUGUGGCACCACCACAUACACACACAUGUCUAAAACCCCAUGAAGACGACAUGACUCAACAUCCAUUUAUACAAAAACAAUCUGAGAUAUAAAUACACUAUUUAUAAUCUGUAUGUUACAAAAGAGUUUCCCUCGGUGAGCUGAGUGACGGGGUGGGGGCCGUGAUCAACCACAGUGACGUAUAAAUAUUCAGCCAGCUACAACUUUGGCAAAAAUCACAAAACCCACAGAGAAAACACAGGGGGCGGGGUUUUGGGUGAAUGGGCGUGGUUUAAGAGCUCGGGGCUUGAGGAGGAGGAGGAGCUAGAAUAAAUGAGACAACUUUGAACAAGAAGACAGAUAGUCACAGAUAGCCUAUGAGGAUGCAAGAUUUGUUUUUACAGUGCGAGCAUAAAAAAGAAAAACAGAUAAAAAUAAAUUAACACAUACAGGCAGGGGCGUGGCUAAAGAAAGAAGGGCGGGGCUAAUAACGGGAGGAAGAUAAUUUUCAUUCAUUACUCUUUCUUUUAGUUGAUCUUUUCAUUGUGCUUCCAGAGGUCAGAAGACUCUGUGUUGAGUUUAUUAAAACAACAAAAGGCCCCAAAUUAUUAUUGACUAUUAUUAUUAUUGACUGCGGGUCAGAAACACGUUCUUCAUGAUAUUCAACUGCUAAAAACAAGUUAAACUGAAUUCAUGUACAGACGAAGUUGUCACAAUACUGGGCUCUGAUUGGCUGACAGCAGCAGAAGUAAACCAGCUAGAGGUUUCAUUUGAUGGAUUUUAAUUAUUUCUCAGUGAGAGGAACCAAUCAGGAUCAAGCUUAGCAGUGAUGACAGAAAAUGGCUCCCUAACUAGAAAGUUUCAUUCUUAGUGUGUCCCUACAUAAGAAGGCUUCUCCUUCCAUGUUCCCUUACUGAAAGCUUCCGUCGUCCUUGCUUCCUAGGUAUAGAUCUUCCUUCUUCACUUUUUUCUACCUGGAAGCCUCCAUUUUCUCUGCCCCCAAACAAGGAAGCUUCCUUCUUCAUUGUAGCAGAGAAGGAAACGGAACAAAGUUGGGAAGUUCUUGUUCUGUAUUUUUCUG